GUCUGUGUGAAGUUAUACAGAGUCUAACCUGCCCAAUGAAUUUUAUUUAAAAGGCCGCAGUAAUUUGACUGUGCAAAGGUAGCAUAAUAAUUAGUUUUUUAAUUGAAGGCUUGUAUGAAUGGUUGGACAAAGAAAAAUCUGUCUUUUAUAUUAUUUUUGAAUUUUACAUUUAAGUGAAAAGGCUUAAAUAAACUUAAGGGACGAUAAGACCCUAUAAAUCUUUACACUGUAUUUAAUUUUUUUAUAAUUUUGUAAAAUUUAAUAGUGUUAUGUUGGGGCAACAAAAAUAUAAAAAAAAACUGUUUUAUGAAUUAUACAUUUAUAUGUGAAUAAAACUAAAAGAUCCUUAAAAAAGAUUAAAAGUUUAAGUUACUUUAGGGAUAACAGCGUUAUUUUUUUUGAGAGUUCUUAUUGAAAAAAAAGUUUGCGACCUCGAUGUUGAAUUAAAAUUUCUCUAUGGUGCAGCAGUUGUAAGAGAGAGUCUGUUCGACUUUUAAAAUUUU
RNAcentral lists this ribosomal RNA (503 nucleotides) under Leiogalathea sinon. Its description in RNAcentral is "partial 16S large subunit ribosomal RNA". It matches the Rfam family "Bacterial large subunit ribosomal RNA", at positions 1831 to 2597 of the family's 2925-position model. Lineage: Eukaryota; Metazoa; Arthropoda; Malacostraca; Decapoda; Munidopsidae. The record is from RNAcentral.